GAUGAACGCUGGCGGCGUGCUUAACACAUGCAAGUCGAACGGUGAACUUGGGAGCUUGCUCCUGGGGGAUCAGUGGCGAACGGGUGAGUAACACGUGAGUAACCUGCCCCAGACUCUGGGAUAAGCACUGGAAACGGUGUCUAAUACCGGAUACGAGCUUCAGCCGCAUGGCUAGGAGCUGGAAAGAAUUUCGGUCAGGGAUGGACUCGCGGCCUAUCAGCUAGUUGGUGAGGUAACGGCUCACCAAGGCGACGACGGGUAGCCGGCCUGAGAGGGUGACCGGCCACACUGGGACUGAGACACGGCCCAGACUCCUACGGGAGGCAGCAGUGGGGAAUAUUGCACAAUGGGCGCAAGCCUGAUGCAGCAACGCCGCGUGAGGGACGACGGCCUUCGGGUUGUAAACCUCUUUUAGUAGGGAAGAAGCGAAAGUGACGGUACCUGCAGAAAAAGCACCGGCUAACUACGUGCCAGCCGCCGCCGGGUAACAC
This 491-nucleotide ribosomal RNA is filed under the name uncultured bacterium. RNAcentral's name for it is "bacterial SSU rRNA". It matches the Rfam family "Bacterial small subunit ribosomal RNA", at positions 28 to 526 of the family's 1533-position model. The record is from RNAcentral.